AAGCCUGCAGACAGAGAGGCAGGGUCUGAUCCGCAGCCUCUGUGACAGCUGUUGAUCAGCUGUUGCCUCUCUCUUUCUCUCUG
Myotis lucifugus (little brown bat) is the source of this 83-nucleotide non-coding RNA. Lineage: Eukaryota; Metazoa; Chordata; Mammalia; Chiroptera; Vespertilionidae. The record is from Rfam.